CGGAAUAGCGUCGGGUACCAUGCAGUCGUGCGGGACGAGUUUAAAAAUUGUUUUGGGGGGUGAUAAGGGGGUGAAGGGUGGGAGGGGGAUGAAUGCUUGCGUAAUGGGGGGGAGAACGGCUGAAAACGGUGUAAAAUAGCGUAAAAUGUCCACGGGCCAACGGGGGGGACCUUGAGGCCCCACGCCUGGAUAUGGCCCCAAGGGGGAUUCUCUAGGUGGUGAAGUAAACGCUCACCGAGGCGAACAUCCCACCAUGCCUUGAUGGAAUGAUAGGACAAUCUGGACUGCUGCAACUGCCAAAAUCCCUCCGGAAGCACCCGUGGGGAAUUAUUGAAAAAGGGGGCCACCCUUAACCAAGCCUGGUGGGGUGUUUAAAAAAGGUUUUCGGCUUGUAACCUGUAACGCAUGGUUAGGCAAGAUGAUGGAGGUGUCCUUGCUGAAUUGACAUUUGUACAUAAGAAGCACCGGCUAACUCCGUGCUACUGCCCGGUAAUACGGAGGGUGCAAGGGUUGAUCGGAAUUACUGGUGUUAGCGUACGUAGGCGGCGUGGUAAUCGAUAUGUUAAAACCCCCGGGGCUCAACCCUGGAACUGGGUUUUUGAAUUUGAAAUAUUAAAAAUCUGAAUAAGGGUGAUGGAAAUUUUCCAUUGUAAAGCGUAAAAUGUGCAAAAAAUUGAAAAGAAAAAACCAAUAGGGAAGGCGGACGCCCGGGGCCCAACCGGUCCUUAAAUUUCAAAACCUGGGGGGGGCAAAACGGAUAAAAAAUCCUGGGCUCCUCCCCCCAAAAACAACGUCCUCUACCUUGGGGACUCUGAAGUGUCGUGGCCUCCUAACCACUUGUUUAGCCCCCUGGGGGGAAAGGCCGCGGGUAAAAUCCAUAUAAUUUUCGGGGGGCCCCACAAGAGGGGGGACCUGGGGUUAAUUCUACGCACCCGAAAACUUACCUCUCU
RNAcentral lists this ribosomal RNA (950 nucleotides) under marine bacterium BBT11. RNAcentral's name for it is "partial 16S ribosomal RNA". It matches the Rfam family "Bacterial small subunit ribosomal RNA", at positions 30 to 980 of the family's 1533-position model. The record is from RNAcentral.